This is a long non-coding RNA of Tarenaya hassleriana, 1579 nucleotides long. RefSeq lists it as uncharacterized. The record is from RefSeq and is a predicted model, not a curated record. The transcript is spliced from 4 exons. Lineage: Eukaryota; Viridiplantae; Streptophyta; Magnoliopsida; Brassicales; Cleomaceae.
CCCUACGCAUUUGCCUUGUGGAAUUCAAUUUCACGAAAGAUGAAAUCGCGACAUCAGUCGAAGGUUUCUCCUCCACAACCAAGAAAGAAACCAUUGCUGAUGCGCUAAACCAAUCUCCAUGUGUCUCAGAGACCAGAAAAGAAAGAGACAAAGGUUGUUCCUCCUUUGCUCUGCGAUAUAUAUCGAUAAGAAACAAUGGAGCUCAAAACAAGUAGGAAUUCGAAAUCGAAAGUGCUCAAUCCGGAUGGACGAGGCACGACUUGUGGGCGACUACGUGCUCGGCCCGAUAAUCGGGUCGGGUUCGUUCGCGGUGGUGUGGCGGGCGAGUCACCGGUCGUGGGGUUCUGAGGUCGCCGUCAAGGAGAUUGACAAGAAACUUCUCAGCCCCAUUGAUCAUCCCAAAAUCAUCCGAUUCUACGGGGCCAUCGAGGUUCCUAAAAUCGCGGUUUUUUCUUCUGGGUUUUUGUUGCUAUACGAAAAAUACGAUCAGAAUUCUGGGGUUUUGUUGCUGUUUGCUUGGAAUCUUCUUAAAAUUAAGUUCAGUGUAAGCUAUUGUUUUCCUGGUUUUUCGUCGAGGAGUAUGUUGAUGAAACUGUCUGGGAAUUGUAUACCGGCGAAAGGAUAUAGAUCUGAUUUUGGAGGACUGUGGCGGAGGGGAUCUUGCUGGGUGUAUUCAUCGCCAUGGAAAAGACUCAGAACAUGUUGCUAGGCAUUUUAUGAGGCAAUUGGAUUUUCUCGAGGAUUUUCUGAGUAGAAGAAUGUACAAAUUGGUGAUUGGAAUUCGUGGCAAGAAUUUUCCUUUCAAUCGCUGAACCGAGAUGGGAACCAAUUGUGCAGCUGCAGGGCUGCUAGCACUUCAAGAGAAGCAUCUUAUUCACCGGGAUUUAAGGCCUCAGUUGAGCGCGUGGCAUUCAGGGAGUUCUUUAAUCACAAGUUUCUUCAGGAGCCAAGAUUGUGGCCUGCGCUCCAUUUUUCUUUGCCUGAAGCUUUUGAUUUGAGCAGUCAGACCCUUUAUCAUUUUCGUUUCUUUCUUUUGUUUAAGACAAAAAUGCUCCAAAUUUUCUUGAAUGCCAAAUGUGGUAGACCAUCCAUUGCUGGAUGUUGAGCAGGAGGCAUAUCCAACUCCACGAACAGAAUCAAAAAGGCAUUCUGAUUGUAAAGAGUGUCAAUGAGCAGAGCGAAGCUUGUGAAAACAUUCGUGCGGUAGGUCUCACUUGUAGCAGAUUGACCUCCACUGCACAGUAAAUUUCCAGGCUUUGGAUCUCUCUUCAAGAUGAUACUUAUAACAGUAACUCUUAUAUUGAUAGCACUGGGACUCGGUACUUACUCUUCUUGUAUAGGUUCAAUAUGAAACAAUAUCAUACCACAGGCGAAACUGGUUGGUAACCCACCUUUGGCCAACGUUUUCUUUAUCAGAAUAUGUAUAUAGUACAUACGUACAUUCAUGCAUGAUGUCUCUGCCAAGGUAUUUGCCAUAAAAUUUCAGGGUCAGAGGAAUUCAGAGAGCUUAAAUAUGGCGCUAAUAGUUUAUGGACGCUCAGUCAGGUUGUAUUGUAAACUUUACUACAAGAGUAUCGAA